UCCAGGAAAAGAGUUUGAAAUCACUGCUCCAACUGAAAGACAGUACUCUCUUUGGAGAGAAAGAGAAAAAAGCAAACUGGUCUCUUCAUUCUUCUGAUGGCAGCGACAGAAGAUAAGCGAGGUUAUUUGGUGGAGGCUGAUACAGCGUGUUGGGUCAUGCAUAGCAGCUUUUGACAUCCACACUGUCGCUUGGUGACUGCUCUUAUCUCCCUAGACCUGUCAACUUGGGGUUUUUUCACCAGCACUCCGCCACAUCCAAAAAGACCCUCAUCAUACUGAACGCAACCUUCCUUCACGACUGAGAGUGAUAUGUUUAGUGGACCACAGAGAGCCGCAGCAUCACAAAUCUCAGGCUGUUUACUCUGUUGCUAUGGAGACGGUUCUCUUGGUCUGUGCUGAUGGAAACAUCUCUACAGGAAGAUGAUGAUUAAGGUGAAGGUGAGAAGGAUGAAUGGAUAAACACAGUGUGGAGUGGAAAAUCUCGCAGCAGAUUUCAGAAAUGCAAAGCUGAAUAUAAAACCGUGGAUCCAUCAGUGCUCAUAAUGCCUCCUGGGACUCUUAAAGAACGUAACACUCUGACAAGCUCUGAUGUGUUUAUUUAUAAGAAACAAUUUGAAAAUCAAACUAAUAAAGCUGAUAAUUAAGAAAGCCUACUGUCAUGUAU
Molecule: long non-coding RNA, 664 nt
Organism: Carassius auratus (goldfish)
Lineage: Eukaryota; Metazoa; Chordata; Actinopteri; Cypriniformes; Cyprinidae
Exons: 3
Source: RefSeq, a predicted model, not a curated record